GAUGCCUUUCAGCAGCUCACUGGUGAGCCGUCCUUUGCCAGACGGUCUAAUGAGGUUUAUGACAAACUACUGUGACACGGUUCCAAAUCCCUAAAGAGAAAAACUUGGAUCCAAAGGCACUCUUACCCACAAGCACGGAUCCAAUGUUGACCUUCUCCUGAUGGCACAACUUUCAUAAAUGGAAGGAGUUGGAUUUCCCUUUCUCGCUCUAGACUUGCACACGUCCUUAAAAUCUGCUACAGAGGAUUCAAAAGGGCAGCAGCAGGAAUGUGUUUGCUCUCCUGAAAAUGGAUUUCAGCUGUAUAUUAACAGAAUACACUGUCAUUUAUAUGUGGACGCCAACAGCCUCACCUUGACUGUAUCAAACAUUCAGAUAUGUUAAAUAUUGAUGAACUACUGCCAGUGGCCUUUGAAUGUUGUCAAGUGGAUAUUGGUCAAUCAUAUCUCAGUAUCAACAAAAUCAGACAUUUGGGAUGACUAGUGUGUAUAUGUGAAAUGUCAAAGUUCACAAACAUUUAUAGGUAAAUAACUCCAACAGACAAAUGUACUAAGGAUCUUCAUGUGGAGCUGAUAUAAAAAUAUUAGAAAUAUCUUCAAAGUUUUUUUUAAAAAAAAUCACAAUGAUGAACAUAGACAUGAGUUUUCCUAAAUCCAGGAAGCACUUUUAAAAUGUAAGUAUUUGUAAAAUUUAUAUGUAAUUGCAUUAUAAUAAAAUUGUCAAGCCAAGCUUCAGACAUAUUGUAGCAAUUCAGAUACAGUAAAAGUGCUUUAUUUGUUUUCUCUUACAGUGCUGACUGUAAUAAUAGCUAUAUCUAUACUUCCCAGCAGCUGCACUGUAGAUAAAUGUGUUCAUUCAUAUGCAGGUGGCUACUGCAAGACAAAUGCAGAGCAUUUGGAGAGAACGAGGGCAUUCUAUAGAUGUCAGUCACUGAUGCAAUCUGACUGUACCAUUUACAGAAUGUCUUCACUUCCCACUGACAUCAUUUUGCUUAGCAUUGUUUUUUUAUUCAUUAAGAAUACUACAAAGGAAAAUACUAAAUUAUUAUUACAAGCAAUCCUUUGUGGGGGGAUCAGAUUUUUUAUUCAGUUUAAUCAGUUUUCUAAAAUAUUGUAAAGAGCACUGUAUCAUUUUUUAAAAACUGAAAUUUGUCCUGAGGGUAUUUGCUGAGCAAAAAACAAAACAAAAAAAAAUAAAAAAACAAGAGCUCAACCAAGAUUUGCAAUCCAUGCUGACAGCAACAGAGAUGGACAAAAUCAUGAAAAUAUGUGAAUUAUCUGAGACGGACAAAUGGACAGUGUUGUUUAAAGAGAAAUCCUUGAAUAAAUUCAAGCAAGACUGGG
Molecule: long non-coding RNA, 1341 nt
Organism: Anolis carolinensis (green anole)
Lineage: Eukaryota; Metazoa; Chordata; Lepidosauria; Squamata; Anolidae
Exons: 2
Source: RefSeq, a predicted model, not a curated record